Molecule: ribosomal RNA, 506 nt
Filed under: uncultured bacterium
Lineage: Bacteria
Description: bacterial LSU rRNA
Rfam family: Bacterial large subunit ribosomal RNA
Source: RNAcentral
GCGACUUACGUUCAGUAGCGAGCUUAACCGAAUAGGGGGAGGCGUAGGGAAACCGAGUCUGAUAAGGGCGCCUAGUUGCUGGACGUAGACCCGAAACCAAGUGAUCUAUCCAUGGCCAGGAUGAAGGUGCGGUAACACGCACUGGAGGUCCGAACCCACUAAUGUUGAAAAAUUAGGGGAUGAGCUGUGGAUAGGGGUGAAAGGCUAAAACAAACUUGGAAAUAGCUGGUUCUCUCCGAAAACUAUUUAGGUAGUGCCUCAAGUAUCACCGGACGGGGUAAAGCACUGUUAUGGCUAGGGGGGUCAUCGCGACUUACCAAACCAUUGCAAACUCAGAAUACCGUUGAGUGCGAGCUUGGGAGACAGACAUCGGGUGCUAACGUCCGGUGUCAAGAGGAAACAACCCAGACCGCCGAUUAAGGUCCGAACGCCACUAGUUAAGUGGGAAACGAGGUAGGGAAGGCUUAGACAGCCAGGAGGUGGCUUAGAAGCAGCCAUCCUUAAAG